Molecule: ribosomal RNA, 465 nt
Filed under: uncultured bacterium
Lineage: Bacteria
Description: bacterial SSU rRNA
Rfam family: Bacterial small subunit ribosomal RNA
Source: RNAcentral
CCAGACUCCUACGGGAGGCAGCAGUGAGGAAUAUUGGUCAAUGGCCGCAGGGCUGAACCAGCCAAGUCGCGCGAGGGAUGACGGUCCUAUGGAUUGUAAACCUCUUUUGUCAGGGAGCAACGCCGGCUACGUGUAGCCGGGCUGAGAGUACCUGAAGAAAAAGCAUCGGCUAACUCCGUGCCAGCAGCCGCGGUAAUACGUAGGUGGCGAGCGUUAUCCGGAUUUAUUGGGCGUAAAGCGUCCGCAGCCGGUUUAUUAAGUAUAGAAUAAAACUUCGGGGCUCAACCCCGUCUCGUUCUAUAAACUGAUAGACUAGAGUGUGGUAGAGGCAAGUGGAAUUUCUAGUGUAGCGGUAGAAUGCGUAGAUAUUAGAAGGAACACCAGUGGCGAAGGCGACUUGCUGGGCCAUCACUGACGGUCAGGGACGAAAGCGUGGGGAGCGAAUAGGAUUAGAUACCCCAGUAC